GAUGAACGCUGGCGGCGUGCCUAAUACAUGCAAGUCGAGCGAACAGAUGAGGAGCUUGCUCCUCUGCCGUUAGCGGCGGACGGGUGAGUAACACGUGGAUAACCUACCUAUAAGACUGGGAUAACUUCGGGAAACCGGAGCUAAUACCGGCUCAUAUAUUGAACGGCAUGGUUCAAUAGUGAAAGACGGCUUUGCUGUCACUUAUAGAUGGUUCCGCGCCGCCUUAGCUAGUUGGUAAGGUAACGGCUUACCAAGGCAACGAUGCGUAGCCGGCCUGAGAGGGUGAUCGGCCACACUGGAACUGAGACACGGUCCAGACUCCUACGGGAGGCAGCAGUAGGGAAUCUUCCGCAAUGGGCGAAAGCCUGACGGAGCAACGCCGCGUGAGUGAUGAAGGUCUUCGGAUCGUAAAACUCUGUUAUUAGGGAAGAACAAAUGUGUAAGUAACUAUGCACGUCUUGACGGUACCUAAUCAGAAAGCCACGGCUAACUACGUG
Molecule: ribosomal RNA, 497 nt
Filed under: uncultured bacterium
Lineage: Bacteria
Description: partial 16S ribosomal RNA
Rfam family: Bacterial small subunit ribosomal RNA
Source: RNAcentral